Molecule: ribosomal RNA, 432 nt
Filed under: Conolophus subcristatus (Galapagos land iguana)
Lineage: Eukaryota; Metazoa; Chordata; Lepidosauria; Squamata; Iguanidae
Description: partial 16S ribosomal RNA
Rfam family: Bacterial large subunit ribosomal RNA
Source: RNAcentral
AACGGCCGCGGUAUCCUAACCGUGCAAAGGUAGCGCAAUCACUUGUCUCCUAAAUAGAGACCAGUAUGAACGGCUAAAUGAGGAUUAACCUGUCUCCUUGGACUAAUCAGUGAAACUGAUCUGCCAGUACAAAAGCUGGCAUAAUACCAUAAGACGAGAAGACCCUGUGGAGCUUCAGACCCCCCAGCCAAACCAAACCUCACCCCCCCCCCCAUGGCUGGUAGUCUUAAGUUGGGGCGACUUCGGAGCAAAACAAAACCUCCGAGCAACAGAACAUUAAUCUACCCAAGGCGGACACGCCAAAGCAAAAACUGACCCAGUAUUACUGACCACCGAACCAAGUUACCCCAGGGAUAACAGCGCCAUCUUCUUCAAGAGUCCAUAUCGACAAGAAGGUUUACGACCUCGAUGUUGGAUCAGGACACCCAAAUG